GCACUAGAUCAUCCCCGGUGGACGACCGGUGGCAUUCCUACUUCGUCGCACUUUCUGCAGCGGUGAGCUCAGAAAGCUUCCCGCAUCAUAAGCGUCCGUAGCGUCAGAAGCAAUUCAACGAAUUCAAAAUCGCUUUCUGGUGGCUGGGAUGGCAUCGCUUCCAACACUCCUCAACAACAUGAAACUCAUUUAUGUCCUCUUCCUGAUUGCGACCGCCAUGGUCAUGGUCCAGGGAGCCUUUUUGGACACCGGAUCCGAAAUCAGCGGUCGUCAGGACCAGGCUCGACCAAAUCGCGGAUACUCAAUACCAGGGGACUUUCAUGGCCCGGGCCUCGUGGACUUCAUCAUGAAUCUUCUGUUAGGACGGGAUCUCGACUACGCGCCGACAGACCCACCAAUAGAGUAUGAAUAGUGAAACUUGGCUAUGUUUCGGGACGCACACCGUUUGCAUCAUAUACCCGAGCGGGGACUUAUUUCGAAGCUUUAAUCAGCACACUAAAAGCUUUUCCUUGAAAUAAAACAUCUCAACAGAA
Molecule: long non-coding RNA, 533 nt
Organism: Galendromus occidentalis (western predatory mite)
Lineage: Eukaryota; Metazoa; Arthropoda; Arachnida; Mesostigmata; Phytoseiidae
Exons: 3
Source: RefSeq, a predicted model, not a curated record